GACGAACGCUGGCGGCGUGCUUAACACAUGCAAGUCGAACGGAAAGGCCCUGCUCUUGUUGGUUGCUCGAUUGGCGAACGGGUGUGUAACACGUGAGUAACCUGCCCUUGUCUUUGUGAUAACUUCAGGAAACUGGGGCUAAUACCGGAUAGGAUCUCCUGCUGCAUGGUGGUGGUUGGAAAGUUUCGGCGGUUGGGGAUGGACUCGCGGCUUAUCAGCUUGUUGGUGGGGUAGUGGCUUACCAAGGCUUUGACGGGUAGCCGGCCUGAGAGGGUGACCGGCCACAUUGGGACUGAGAUACGGCGCAGAAGCCUACGGGAGGCAGCAGGGGGGAAUAUUGCACAAUGGGCGGAAGCCUGAUGCAGCAACGCCGCGUGCGGGAUGACGGCCUUCGGGUUGUAAACCGCUUUCGCCUGUGACGAAGCGUGAGUGACGGUAAUGGGUAAAGAAGCAACGGCUAACUACGUG
RNAcentral lists this ribosomal RNA (468 nucleotides) under uncultured bacterium. RNAcentral's name for it is "partial 16S ribosomal RNA". It matches the Rfam family "Bacterial small subunit ribosomal RNA", at positions 28 to 507 of the family's 1533-position model. The record is from RNAcentral.